GCGGAUGGGUGGUGUAUAAGCCACGCUGGUUCCGGGGUCCCCCUAUAUAUACCUUGGUACCGCCUUGUUUUAAUUCUCUCAGCUCAGGCGCCGCAUGGAGUAGGCAAGGUGAUCCCUGCUGCCUGGGAGAUGUAUGGGGCACCCUGCACCACGUGGCUGAAUCUCCAGCUCAAGAUUGGAUUGCUUUACUUAAUCCCCUAAUGAAGUUCUAUAGUAGGAAUCUUUUAUAUUUAAGUAAUAAUUAUAAUCUUUAAUAGAUAAUGUUAUGUUAUGUGACUGAUAAUGUUAUGGUAAGUCUUGAAAUAACCCCCUCCCCUGCCGCUUUGGUGCUGUGCACGUGGGAAUAGUUUAGCACACAUGGGCCAGGUAGUUGCCCUGAAGCUGCCAUUUUGCUUCUUAGUUCAGCCAUUCUCCCCAGAAAACAUAAAUAGUGGACAAACCCUCUGCAUAAUGAGCUGCCCCUUGUAACAAAGGCUCCACCCGGGGUCAUUUAUACAGGGGUCGUUGUCUACAUUUCAACAAAUUAAAGUUUAUAGGGGGACAUUCAGUGAUUCAUAUGAGCAAUAAAAUAGCUGAUGUCACUUAUUAGAAUACAGUUUGGACAUAGGUCCUAUUUAUAGUCCUUACAUUGAGCAAAGGUAUAUAUACUGUGCAUGUAGUAUGGCAUACCUUAUUUGUACCCAGCAGUGCGGAGUCUGACUAUAGUGACAGUUUAAUAAAUUCUCUGUAGACAGAAUGAUUUCACUACUAAGUUAUUCUAUGGAUUGUAUUUGAACCAGCCGACAGUGGUCUGUGCUUUGUUUUAAAUAAAGAUCCAUUUCAUUAA
This is a long non-coding RNA of Xenopus tropicalis (tropical clawed frog), 826 nucleotides long. RefSeq lists it as uncharacterized. NCBI's taxonomy places the organism in Eukaryota, Metazoa, Chordata, Amphibia, Anura, Pipidae. The transcript is spliced from 2 exons. The record is from RefSeq and is a predicted model, not a curated record.